AGACAUCGAGCGCAUCACUCUGCCCAGUAUCAGCCGCUUACGCCAGUUCGGCAAUGACACCGUACUGGACUUGUUCUUCUACAACAGUGCCACCUACUGCCAGACCAUUGUGGAUACAGUGGGCUCUGAGAUCAACCGCCUUCACAGCAUCUUCCUCCAGAGACAGCCGCACUUCAGCGGGGGCGUGUCUGUGGCUGGACACAGCCUGGGUCUGUAGCUCUGACCUUCAUGCCAGGAUUUGCGUGUUAUUGUACAACAGAAUGAUUGUAUCUGUAAUACUGUUACGUUUGUUUUGUAACUGAGUGAUUUGGAAUUUUGGUCAGUUUUUUUUUUUUUAAAUGUUUCAACUUUCCCUUAUAGGCUCCUUAAUCCUGUUUGACCUCCUGACGAAUCAAAAGCCAGAGUCACAAGGCACUGACUUGGAAAAGACUGCACUGCAACAAGAAGACCUCAGCCCUUCAUCCAAGUCCAGCCGCAGUUCCCUGAAGAGCCUAGAGGAGGUGCUACUGAGCAGUGGGCUGGAAGACCACCUCAAAGUCCUGCAGAGGGAAGAAAUCGACCUGGAGGCUCUGAUGCUCUGCUCUGAGCGUGACCUGAAGGAUCUGGGGAUUCCCCUGGGCCCUUGCAAGAAGAUCAUGAGCUAUAUGAAGAAACUGGAGGUAUUGGAGGCUGUGGUGUCGGUAACAUGUCCCGUGGGCCAUCCUGCAGGGGACACUAGGAAAUGCCGUGUGUGUUCUGAUCCUGUUCCUCCUGUUGACCCAGUACCACUCUCCUGCUGGAGGUGCGGACCAAACCGGACCACGUUCCCAGACAACGGAGAGAAAUAAUUCCUCUGAACUCCGUACCCUAAUCCAGGAAUGCCCACCCACUACCAGCGCUGUGGCCUAUCAGCACUUUGAUGUUGGUAUUGGACAGGUAUCGGACUUUCACAGGGUCUGAUGGACACCACUCAUGAGUCAUCUGAGGGGUUUAUUAAGUACUAUAGUUUUAUUACAAAAGCAGACCUGGUUUUAUUAAGAUAAGUAGCGCAUUGCUUCCCUAAGUGCUAGCCUCUGUGAUGUCCGGCUUGUCCUCUGUGUUUCAGGUGUCCGUUCACUACCCGCAGUUCUCCUUCCACCCCAAAGCCUUUUUCGCCCUUGGCUCUCCCAUAGGAAUGUUCCUGACCGUCCGAGGCUUAAAGAGAAUCGACCCCGGUUACAGUUUUCCCACCUGCGGCAGCUUCUAUAACAUCUUCCAUCCUGUAAGAGGGUCCUGACACACUGUGUGGUUUACAGUGUUG
This is a long non-coding RNA of Electrophorus electricus (electric eel), 1279 nucleotides long. The record is from Ensembl. Lineage: Eukaryota; Metazoa; Chordata; Actinopteri; Gymnotiformes; Gymnotidae.